CAGUCGGGUCCGCAAAGAGAACGCACAAAAAAAACAAGGCUGAUGGUAAAUCUAUAAAAAAAAUGGAAGGCUAAGUCGUUACAUCUUAAGCAUAUUAUCCGAGGAACUUGUUCUGUCCCACAACUUGGAGG
Non-coding RNA from Drosophila suzukii, 131 nucleotides. Lineage: Eukaryota; Metazoa; Arthropoda; Insecta; Diptera; Drosophilidae. The record is from RefSeq and is a predicted model, not a curated record.